GGUUAAGUGACUAAGCGUACAUGGUGGAUGCCUUGGCAGUCAGAGGCGAUGAAGGACGUACUAACCUGCGAUAAGCCGUGAGCAGUCGGUAAGAGACAUUACGACUCACGGAUUUCCGAAUGGGGAAACCCACUUAGCAUAAGCUAGGUAUCGCUACGUGAAUACAUAGCGUAGCGAGGCGAACCGGGAGAACUGAAACAUCUAAGUACCCCGAGGAAAAGAAAUCAACCGAGAUUCCCUCAGUAGCGGCGAGCGAACGGGGAUUAGCCCUUAAGCAUCUUGGAAGUUAGUGGAACGGUCCUGGAAAGGCCGGCGAUACAGGGUGAUAGCCCCGUACACGAAAACAACCUUGAUGUGAAAUCGAGUAGGGCGGGACACGUGACAUCCUGUCUGAAUAUGGGGGGACCAUCCUCCAAGGCUAAAUACUCCUGACUGACCGAUAGUGAACCAGUACCGUGAGGGAAAGGCGAAAAGAACCCCUGUGAGGGGAGUGAAAUAGAACCUGAAACCGUGUACGUACAAGCAGUGGGAGCCCUUCGGGGUGACUGCGUACCUUUUGUAUAAUGGGUCAGCGACUUACAUUUUGUAGCGAGGUUAACCGUAUAGGGGAGCCGUAGGGAAACCGAGUCUUAACUGGGCGUCUAGUUGCAAGGUGUAGACCCGAAACCGGGUGAUCUAGCCAUGGGCAGGUUGAAGGUUGAGUAACAUCAACUGGAGGACCGAACCCACUAACGUUGCAAAGUUAGGGGAUGACCUGUGGCUGGGGGUGAAAGGCCAAUCAAACUCGGAGAUAGCUGGUUCUCCCCGAAAGCUAUUUAGGUAGCGCCUCGGACGAAUACUACUGGGGGUAGAGCACUGUUUGGGCUAGGGGGUCAUCCCGACUUACCAACCCCAUGCAAACUCCGAAUACCAGUAAGUAAUAUCCGGGAGACACACGGCGGGUGCUAACGUCCGUCGUGAAGAGGGAAACAACCCAGACCGCCGGCUAAGGUCCCAAAGUUCUGGUUAAGUGGGAAACGAUGUGGGAAGGCUCAGACAGCUAGGAUGUUGGCUUAGAAGCAGCCAUCAUUUAAAGAAAGCGUAAUAGCUCACUAGUCGAGUCGGCCUGCGCGGAAGAUGUAACGGGGCUCAAACCAGGCACCGA
This 1144-nucleotide ribosomal RNA is filed under the name Aeromonas caviae. Its description in RNAcentral is "partial 23S ribosomal RNA". It matches the Rfam family "Bacterial large subunit ribosomal RNA", at positions 1 to 1197 of the family's 2925-position model. Lineage: Bacteria; Pseudomonadati; Pseudomonadota; Gammaproteobacteria; Aeromonadales; Aeromonadaceae. The record is from RNAcentral.